CUUGGCCUACGGGAGGCAGCAGUGAGGAAUAUUGGUCAAUGGCCGAGAGGCUGAACCAGCCAAGUCGCGUGAGGGAUGACGGCCCUACGGGUUGUAAACCUCUUUUGUCGGGGAGCAAAGAGAGUCACGUGUGGCUCAUUGAGAGUACCCGAAGAAAAAGCAUCGGCUAACUCCGUGCCAGCAGCCGCGGUAAUACGGAGGAUGCGAGCGUUAUCCGGAUUUAUUGGGUUUAAAGGGUGCGCAGGCGGAGGUGCAAGUCAGUGGUCAAAUUGCGGGGCUCAACCCCGUACUGCCGGUGAAACUGC
This 305-nucleotide ribosomal RNA is filed under the name uncultured bacterium. Its description in RNAcentral is "bacterial SSU rRNA". It matches the Rfam family "Bacterial small subunit ribosomal RNA", at positions 331 to 636 of the family's 1533-position model. The record is from RNAcentral.